AUUGAACGCUGGCGGCAGGCCUAACACAUGCAAGUCGGACGGUAGCACAGAGGAGCUUGCUCUUCGGGUGACGAGUGGCGGACGGGUGAGUAAUGUCUGGGGAUCUGCCCGAUAGAGGGGGAUAACCACUGGAAACGAUGGCUAAUACCGCAUAACGUCGCAAGACCAAAGUGGGGGACCUUCGGGCCUCAUGCCAUCAGAUGUGCCCAGAUGGGAUUAGCUGGUAGGUGGGGUAACGGCUCACCUAGGCGACGAUCCCUAGCUGGUCUGAGAGGAUGACCAGCCACACUGGAACUGAGACACGGUCCAGACUCCUACGGGAGGCAGCAGUGGGGAAUAUUGCACAAUGGGCGCAAGCCUGAUGCAGCCAUGCCGCGUGUGUGAAGAAGGCCUUCGGGUUGUAAAGCACUUUCAGCGGGGAGGAAGGCGAUAAGGUUAAUAACCUUGUCGAUUGACGUUACCCGCAGAAGAAGCACCGGCUAACUCCGUGCCAGCCGCCGCAGUAA
This 506-nucleotide ribosomal RNA is filed under the name uncultured bacterium. Its description in RNAcentral is "partial 16S ribosomal RNA". It matches the Rfam family "Bacterial small subunit ribosomal RNA", at positions 30 to 523 of the family's 1533-position model. The record is from RNAcentral.